AAGGAUAAAUUAAUCAGCGGACAAUUUAAAUGUUAACCUAAUUAAAGUAAGGUUAGAAUAUGUCUGUGUGUGAAACACGAGAGGAAGAAUAUACAGCCAAAUUUCACAUAUUUAAUUAGAGAUAGUAUAAAAAUUGCUUUUCUCUUUUUGAAAUGUAAAUAUCCAAAUAAGGGAUUUUCUUGAUAUAGUUAUAUCUUUCAUAAGUAGCCU
Molecule: long non-coding RNA, 210 nt
Filed under: Elaeis guineensis (African oil palm)
Lineage: Eukaryota; Viridiplantae; Streptophyta; Magnoliopsida; Arecales; Arecaceae
Description: long non-coding RNA (EGUI_LNC081753)
Source: RNAcentral